RNAcentral lists this ribosomal RNA (1183 nucleotides) under Candidatus Phytoplasma phoenicium. RNAcentral's name for it is "bacterial SSU rRNA". It matches the Rfam family "Bacterial small subunit ribosomal RNA", at positions 153 to 1332 of the family's 1533-position model. The record is from RNAcentral. Lineage: Bacteria; Bacillati; Mycoplasmatota; Mollicutes; Acholeplasmatales; Acholeplasmataceae.
GAAACGGUUGCUAAGACUGGAUAGGAAAUUAAAAGGCAUCUUUUAAUUUUUAAAAGACCUUUUUCGGAAGGUAUGCUUAAAGAGGGGCUUGCGCCACAUUAGUUAGUUGGUAAGGUAAAGGCUUACCAAGACGAUGAUGUGUAGCUGGACUGAGAGGUUGAACAGCCACAUUGGGACUGAGACACGGCCCAAACUCCUACGGGAGGCAGCAGUAAGGAAUUUUUGGCAAUGGAGGAAACUCUGACCGAGCGACGCCGCGUGAACAAUGAAGUACUUCGGUAUGUAAAGUUCUUUUAUUGAAAAAGAAAAAAUAGUGGAAAAACUAUCUUGACAUUAUUCAAUGAAUAAGCCCCGGCUAAUUAUGUGCCAGCAGCCGCGGUAAUACAUAAGGGGCGAGCGUUAUCCGGAAUUAUUGGGCGUAAAGGGUGCGUAGGCGGUUUGAUAAGUCUAUAGUUUAAUUGCAGUGCUUAACGCUGUACCGCUAUAGAAACUGUCUGACUAGAGUUAGAUAGAGGCAAGCGGAAUUCCAUGUGUAGCGGUAAAAUGCGUAAAUAUAUGGAGGAACACCAGAGGCGUAGGCGGCUUGCUGGGUCUUAACUGACGCUGAGGCACGAAAGCGUGGGGAGCAAACAGGAUUAGAUACCCUGGUAGUCCACGCCGUAAACGAUGAGUACUAAGUGUCGGGUUUUGGCUCGGUACUGAAGUUAACACAUUAAGUACUCCGCCUGAGUAGUACGUACGCAAGUAUGAAACUUAAAGGAAUUGACGGGACCCCGCACAAGCGGUGGAUCAUGUUGUUUAAUUCGAAGAUACACGAAAAACCUUACCAGGUCUUGACAUAAUUUUGCGACAUUAUAGAAAUAUAAUGAAGGUUAUCAGAAUUACAGGUGGUGCAUGGUUGUCGUCAGCUCGUGUCGUGAGAUGUUAGGUUAAGUCCUAAAACGAGCGCAACCCUUGUCGUUAGUUGCGACCACAUAAUGGUGAGCACUUUAGCGAGACUGCCAAUGAAAAAUUGGAGGAAGGUGAGGAUUACGUCAAAUCAUCAUGCCCCUUAUGAUCUGGGCUACAAACGUGAUACAAUGGCUUUUACAAAGAGUAGCUACAACGUGAGUUUUUAGCCAAUCUCAAAAAAACAGUCUCAGUUCGGAUUGAAGUCUGCAACUCGACUUCAUGAAGUUGGAAU